UGGGGAAUCUUGGACAAUGGGCGCAAGCCUGAUCCAGCCAUGCCGCGUGAGUGACGAAGGCCUUAGGGUUGUAAAGCUCUUUUGGCGGGGACGAUAAUGACGGUACCCGCAGAAUAAGCCCCGGCUAACUUCGUGCCAGCAGCCGCGGUAAUACGAAGGGGGCUAGCGUUGUUCGGAAUUACUGGGCGUAAAGCGCACGUAGGCGGAUGUGCCAGUCAGGGGUGAAAUCCCGAGGCUCAACCUCGGAACUGCCUCCGAUACAGCACGUCUCGAGUCCGGAAGAGGUGAGUGGAAUUCCUAGUGUAGAGGUGAAAUUCGUAGAUAUUAGGAAGAACACCAGUGGCGAAGGCGGCUCACUGGUCCGGUACUGACGCUGAGGUGCGAAAGCGUGGGGAGCAAACAGGAUUAGAUACCCCGGUAGUCCCUGAGCGGGCUGGCAAGGCGCAU
This 447-nucleotide ribosomal RNA is filed under the name uncultured bacterium. Its description in RNAcentral is "bacterial SSU rRNA". It matches the Rfam family "Bacterial small subunit ribosomal RNA", at positions 355 to 825 of the family's 1533-position model. The record is from RNAcentral.